GCUGUGUUGGCGUAAUGGAAACGCAACUCCCCUGUAAGGAGUAGGCUCUCAGUUCGAGUCUGAGACGCAGCUUA
RNAcentral lists this transfer RNA (74 nucleotides) under Caudoviricetes sp. Its description in RNAcentral is "tRNA-Thr". It matches the Rfam family "tRNA". From Rfam's summary of the family: Transfer RNA (tRNA) molecules are approximately 80 nucleotides in length. Their secondary structure includes four short double-helical elements and three loops (D, anti-codon, and T loops). The record is from RNAcentral. Lineage: Duplodnaviria; Heunggongvirae; Uroviricota; Caudoviricetes.